GCCGUGGGUUUGGGGUUCCUCGACUGUGCAUGAAGGCGCACGAGGAAGCUCAGAAAAGCUUCAGAGCCUCAAAAGCUUAGAUCUGGCGAGCUCGAUGCCUCAAAGUGCCUCAGGAGCUUGGAUCCGAUGAGCUCGGCUUGCGUGGGAAGGAGCUCGUGAUCGCCAACCUAGCGGACUCAGCGUCGGAGGCACGUGAGCGCACGGGAGGAAUGGACGGAGGCUCGAAAUUGCUCGCGGGUGAGUUCUCCACGACUAAUGGAGCUGAGACGCAGGCGUGGCGAGCUCCUAAGAGAUCGAGAGCACCACAGAAGGUGGAUCUGGGCAAGGUCAGUGUCAGAGGUAGGGCACAAGCGGGGGAGCACUUUGAGAACCCAGAUCCGACGGCUUCGAAGCGGCCAGUGUCGUCGAAUGGAGGCACGGGAGGCUCGAAUACCCAGACCCGAUGAGGUUAGAGGGGCUGGCAUCGUCGGAGAGGGAGACCUUACCAUUGAUCAUCAUUGCCCACAUCGGAGAAAGAGGAGGCGCCGCCUCCUAGCGGUGGGCCCUGCGUCCCAAGGUCUCUUCUCAGGCAAUGGGGA
Molecule: long non-coding RNA, 578 nt
Filed under: Elaeis guineensis (African oil palm)
Lineage: Eukaryota; Viridiplantae; Streptophyta; Magnoliopsida; Arecales; Arecaceae
Description: long non-coding RNA (EGUI_LNC011798)
Source: RNAcentral